This 125-nucleotide non-coding RNA is filed under the name Couchioplanes caeruleus. The record is from RNAcentral. Lineage: Bacteria; Bacillati; Actinomycetota; Actinomycetes; Micromonosporales; Micromonosporaceae.
ACAGAGUGACCGGCGAGCGGUAGCGGAGGAACCCGGUGCGAGUCCGGGACGGUCCCGCCACUGUGACCGGGCCAUCGUGGUGUGCCCGGGAGUCAGGAGACUCCGGCCGCUCUCACCCUUGCCCA